AAUGUAAACACGCAGACUAGAACAUGCACCAUCCUGAGUAUUUGGACACCGUUGGGAUUUUGGAUGGACGGACUCCACUUUCAAAGACCCCGCAGCGGGAGGCAAAGAGAACACCGAGGAGGCCCUGAUCCCGGAGUCAGAUAAAGGAGAGAUUCAAGAAUUGCUAUUGGGACAACUGACUGGCCAUGAAGAGAAAAAUCCAUAUUUACCUCGGAUAGAUCAAAUUGUUACAUAUGCAAAAUUCAUAAGUAAAGAAGUAAAUACACCAGAACAAAUAUGAGUAAAUGCCUUUUGAUCUUGGGUGGGAAAAGGCCUAAGAGUGACAAAAACUCCAGAAACGACAAAUGUAAAUUUGGCUCAUGAAACCAACAGUUAUUGAGUGCUCAUUAUGUGCUGGUUCUGGUCUAGACCCAGAAUCUCAGAGUUGGCCGAAGGAGGUUUUGGGAGCUGGGCUGUCACACCCUCACAGGUCAGAUCGUGCCGGGGCUGCCCUGAGGGCCUUAAGCCCCAGGCGCUUGGGGUUCCCUGGGAGAGAAAGCAGAGCAGCCCCAGUGACCCGGGACAGGUGCCAACCACUGAAGGCCAAAGCGCAUCAAACCUCAGAGAGGGAGCCCCAGAAACGGUACAGGGGAGCUUAGGGGGCCUGCCUCUGGGUUUGCCCUUCUCAGCCUGUCCCUGCUCUGCUCUCCUUCUCUGACUCGCUCCCCACAAGGCUCCAUCUUUGGUCUGCCUUUUCUCUUCUCUGCAGGUAGAAGUGCAAAACAACUCAAGCCAGCUUAAGCAUCCCUGGGGACUGUCUUGAUGCAUGAAACCAAACCGGGUUCCCUGCCUGGGCGGGAGAGGUCUCAGAGCAGAGCCCCUGAAGGAAGGUGCUGGAGGGCCCUAGAAGGAGGCUGUGCACUGCAGCUGCCCCUCCCGUGACCGGAAGACCAAGGUGUUGUUAGGAAAGCCAGAGACUCCCUUAGGUCCCCAGACGCCCAGUCUGGUCUUCCCCGCUCAGAUGCCCACGACAUCGUUCUGAAGGGCUUCCGGACAGCUAUUCCUUUUGCUCCAAUGACGUCCUGAUCCCUCCUUUCCAAGACUCCCCAUCACACCUGGGUCCCUCCCACCAAAUGCCUCUGUCCUCUGACACCAGGGACUUCCCAGGCACCAUUUCCCUCUGCCCUUAUCCCCAGGGAUGCGUCCUAACGGGCCCCACAUGGGACAUGUGUGAGGCAUCCUUCCCACCUAGAGACACUUGGCUCCCAAG
This is a long non-coding RNA of Pipistrellus kuhlii (Kuhl's pipistrelle), 1249 nucleotides long. RefSeq lists it as uncharacterized. The record is from RefSeq and is a predicted model, not a curated record. Lineage: Eukaryota; Metazoa; Chordata; Mammalia; Chiroptera; Vespertilionidae. The transcript has 2 exons.